AAUCUCAGCUUCUCAUUCUCCUCCUUACCCCACAGACUCACCUAAGGAACAUUCUCCUCCAAACAGACUGCCCAGCAUCUUUCAGUAUGGAAGCUCCAGAGCUCACAGCCACUGAGACCAGCUUAAUAUUACUCGUUGGUGUUUUCAACCAGUAUGCUUCAGGAGACAGUGAUAAGAAAACUCUCAGCAAAGAUGAGUUCGGGAAACUUGUCAAGGAAGAGUUCCCGCUCAUUUUUCAGGCAAAAGAUGCAGCUGAUAUUAUGAAAAAGUUGGACAAAAACAAGGACAAUUUAAUCGACAUCAAUGAGUUUAUGCACAUGAUAUCGGACCUUGUUGGGAAAUCCUACAAGAUGAUGUGUGACAUGGAACCCAAAAAAUGAGCCCCAUCCAGCUCACAGUACCACAGCCUAACAAGCUUUGUACAUCGAUGGCAGAUAAAAUAAGGCUUAUCUCUAACUGGCUGCCAAUUCAGAGCAUUGAUGGUGUUAGGAUAGAGGUGUCUGCAUUGUAACGUCCAUUAUAAAUUUGGCUGAAACACAAACCAAUGUUGUUUCCUAUUAAACAUUUUACUGUUUAAAA
Molecule: RNA transcript, 579 nt
Organism: Anguilla anguilla (European eel)
Lineage: Eukaryota; Metazoa; Chordata; Actinopteri; Anguilliformes; Anguillidae
Gene name: protein S100-G-like
Exons: 3
Source: RefSeq, a predicted model, not a curated record